Lynx canadensis (Canada lynx) is the source of this 85-nucleotide long non-coding RNA. RefSeq lists it as uncharacterized. The transcript has 3 exons. The record is from RefSeq and is a predicted model, not a curated record. NCBI's taxonomy places the organism in Eukaryota, Metazoa, Chordata, Mammalia, Carnivora, Felidae.
AGUGUAUUGUAUUAUAAAAAUAUGUUUAGUUUUGUAACAAACUGUCAAAUUGUCUUUGAAAUGGUUGUACCAUUUUGCAUUCUCA